UGUUAAAAAUUUCAUCCAUUUGUAUUGUCAAAAACUGACAUGGCUGACGGGAUAAUCAGAUUAUGAUACUUGAUGUGCCACAUGUAUCUCAUGUUGAUAUAUAAGAAACAAUUUUUUAAUAACAUAAAUAGAUAAAAAUUUUAACC
Molecule: non-coding RNA, 146 nt
Organism: Gossypium raimondii (Peruvian cotton)
Lineage: Eukaryota; Viridiplantae; Streptophyta; Magnoliopsida; Malvales; Malvaceae
Source: Rfam